UACGUAGGGAGCAAGCGUUGUCCGGAAUCAUUGGGCGUAAAGAGCGCGUAGGUGGCUUUAUAAGUCCGUUGCGAAAGUCAAAGGCUCAACCUUUGAAAGCCGAUGGAUACUGUGAAGCUAGAGUACGGAAGAGGCGAGUGGAAUUCCUGGUGUAGCGGUGGAAUGCGCAGAUAUCAGGAGGAACACCAAUAGCGAAGGCAGCUCGCUGGGACGUUACUGACACUGAGGCGCGAAAGCGUGGGGAGCGAACAGG
This 253-nucleotide ribosomal RNA is filed under the name uncultured bacterium. RNAcentral's name for it is "partial 16S ribosomal RNA". It matches the Rfam family "Bacterial small subunit ribosomal RNA", at positions 524 to 776 of the family's 1533-position model. The record is from RNAcentral.